UACGUAGGGUGCAAGCGUUGUCCGGAAUUAUUGGGCGUAAAGAGCUCGUAGGCGGUCUGUCGCGUCUGCUGUGAAAACUCAGGGCUUAACCCUGAGCUUGCAGUGGGUACGGGCAGACUAGAGUGCGGUAGGGGAGACUGGAAUUCCUGGUGUAGCGGUGAAAUGCGCAGAUAUCAGGAGGAACACCGGUGGCGAAGGCGGGUCUCUGGGCCGUAACUGACGCUGAGGCGCGAAAGCUAGGGGAGCAAACGGG
RNAcentral lists this ribosomal RNA (253 nucleotides) under uncultured bacterium. RNAcentral's name for it is "partial 16S ribosomal RNA". It matches the Rfam family "Bacterial small subunit ribosomal RNA", at positions 524 to 776 of the family's 1533-position model. The record is from RNAcentral.